AUGGAAUGUUCUUUGCCGUUUGGAGGAAAGGUUGUUGUCUUUGGUGGUGAUUUCAGGCAGGUCCUACCCGUUGUGACACGUGGGACAAGAGCACAGAUAACAGAUGCUACACUUCUGAGAUCCUAUCUUUGGGAGAAGACCCGCAAGAUACGUCUCACGCGCAAUAUGCGGGCAUAGGCUGAUCCUUGGUUCUCAGAAUACCUACUAAGGAUAGGCAAUGGAACUGAAGAGACAAUUGGCGACGAUUAUGUCCGUCUCCCCGAGGACAUUGUCAUUGGCUAUACCGAGGAUGAAAAAGCUAUUAACAUGCUCAUCGAAGAUGUCUUCCCAUCUUUGCAGGCCAAUGCUAGAUCGAGAGAGUACAUGAGUGCACGUGCUAUUCUUUCAACCAAGAACGAUCAUGUCGAUGACCUGAAUGACAAAAUGAUCUCCAGGUUUCCAGGCGAAGAAAAGUUAUACCAUAGUUUUGACUCAAUUGAGGAUGACUUGCAGAAUAAUUACACAAUUGAUUUUUUGAACUCAAUCACACCAAAUGGCUUGCCCCCGCAUGUUUUGAAAUUAAAGGUCAACUGUCCAGUCAUUCUGCUCCGGAACCUCGACCCUCAUAAUGGUCUAUGCAAUGGAACACGGCUUAUGAUCAGAGCCUUUCAGGAUAAUGCAAUCGAUGCGGAGAUUGUUGGUGGUCAGCAUGCUGGAAAGAGGGUGUUUAUACCNNNNNNNNNNCCCUCGCCCUGGUCUCCGCGACGUCCUGGACCCGCCUUGCAGCCCUAA
This 771-nucleotide ribosomal RNA is filed under the name Triticum aestivum (bread wheat). RNAcentral's name for it is "partial small subunit ribosomal RNA". The record is from RNAcentral. Lineage: Eukaryota; Viridiplantae; Streptophyta; Magnoliopsida; Poales; Poaceae.